ACGCUCGACACCUACAGGAGGCAGCAGUGGGGAAUAUUGCACAAUGGGGGAAACCCUGAUGCAGCGACGCCGCGUGAGCGAAGAAGUAUUUCGGUAUGUAAGGCUCUAUCAGCAGGGAAGAAACUGACGGUACCUGACUAAGAAGCACCGGCUAAAUACGUGCUAGCAGCCGCGGUAAUCUGAGCGGGCUGGCAAGGC
This 198-nucleotide ribosomal RNA is filed under the name uncultured bacterium. RNAcentral describes it as "partial 16S ribosomal RNA". It matches the Rfam family "Bacterial small subunit ribosomal RNA", at positions 328 to 539 of the family's 1533-position model. The record is from RNAcentral.